Molecule: long non-coding RNA, 1820 nt
Filed under: Homo sapiens (human)
Lineage: Eukaryota; Metazoa; Chordata; Mammalia; Primates; Hominidae
Description: HSALNT0403975
Source: RNAcentral
GCCAAUGCCGGGACUUCCGGCUCUUGGCUCAGGGUGGCUGCUCGGCGUGGAGUCCGCGAAGAGAGGGGUCGGACACUAGCUGAGACCCGCAGGCAGCCGCAGAGCACGCUCAGGGCUAAAGUAGCCGCACCCGCUGUCUAGGAAACGGUUACCUGAGCGGUUGUCAGGACACAACGACCCAGACGCCAGAGCCAACGCCAAACGGGUAGAGGCCUCUCGAGCGCCCUUAACCACCGGCAUUUGACUCGCAGCCCGCGGCGAGACUUCGGCCUGGAGCCCCCGCGCGGAGCGACGCCGACGCCGAACACAUUUAUUCUUAUUUCGAAUGAGCCAUUUUUUCCCCACUGGAAAACCUCCCUUCAAUUAGAAAGAUGAAUUUCAAAGGUUCUGAAGAGUGGGUUAGCAACUUUCGUCAGAGUCAUCUUGGAAAGGUGAAAUUGAUGGUUCCAUAGGGGAAAAAAAAUUGGUUUCCCAAUCUGCUUCUGAAAAGGAAUUCUUCUGGCUGAAUAGGUUGGUAGCUUGAGUCGAGUAACCUUCCUUGGGACGGGCUGCAUUCUUCUGCUGUUUGAUCCAUGGAAUCUUGGCCAUUUUUAGGGCAGCCUAAGAGUGUGAGUCUGCUCUGGGACAUAUCGAGAGGCUGUGCUGUACAUGGCAGUCCUUGGGCAGUUGGUCGCGAUAAGGAUGUUGAUGCAGACAACGUUCCAUGUGGUUCCCCUGGAGUUAGCUGUACUCCUCUGGGAAGCCCCCAGGUGACCAUUCUUUCAGAGUCCUCCGGAGGAUGUGAAAAACCAGGAAAGCCUCCCUAAGGUCACACCUGCCUGAAUCUGGUAUCCAUCUGGGUACAUUCAGUCUCUGGGGACAUCUGCUGGCCUAGGUUUAUGGGUUGAUGGACAAUCAGUGGAUAAUGGAAUCGGAAGCCUUAAAUCAGACAACUUUCCAGGUCUAAUCCAAGCCCUUCAUGCUAUUGAUGAGGAGAUGGAGUCCCAGUUUAUGUAUUGAAGAACCUGGGCCGUUUGACCCACGGAGUGGUUCUCAAUCUGGAUUUGGCUGAUUGGGCACUCAUGUUGCAGGUUAACAUGCUCCUCGGUUUUCUGACCUCCUAGAAGUUGGCAGCUGGAUCCAGAAGCUUCAACAGCCUCAGGUUCAGCCUCCUGGGCUGGCGGAUUGUAGGAUCCAAGUAAAUUCUAGUGGGCAAGAGGAAGAGAAGAGAAACUACAACAUCAUUAUCUUACUGCUGGAGGCAGCAGAUUACGGACCCCUGACUGUGAUGUGUCAAAUGCACUGUGUGACAACCAAGACCCUACACAUCUGGGGGGCACUUCAGGAUUCCUCCAGGCGGCAGUUGCUGGCCUAGACUCACUUCUUCAGGAGGGAGGUUCGCCCUGGAAAAGCUGAUUUGCAUUUCUGCUGGGAUCGAUGCCGUGGAGACUGAAUACAUUGAGGUCUCCAGGUGAAAGAAGAAAGCUUAACCUGGCUUCUGAAUUCCAAGAGCACACGGCAAAGUGGGUCUAAAUCAACGUCUGGUUAUGAAGGGCCUAGAGCCAGAUAGGAGCUUCUUACAGCUUUUGGCAGUUUCUGGUGGAGGCCAGCUCUCCUUGUCAUCUACCUUGGCCUGAGAAGCCUGUUCCCCUCUGCAGAGGAUGAGCUCAGGGCUACACCUUUCCUUCCAGGCUCUCAUGGUGUGGUCCAGGCUCCAUUUCUUUCUCUUUGAACCUCACUUCAACAUGAUUAGAGUGACUGAAGGUAAAGAAAUAGGAACUGUUUUACCGUAAAUAAAUUAGUCCCUGCUACACUUUUUCUCUGUGUUGUUUCAUCACAUG